This 253-nucleotide ribosomal RNA is filed under the name uncultured bacterium. Its description in RNAcentral is "partial 16S ribosomal RNA". It matches the Rfam family "Bacterial small subunit ribosomal RNA", at positions 524 to 776 of the family's 1533-position model. The record is from RNAcentral.
GACGAACCGUGCGAACGUUGUUCGGAUUCACUGGGCGUAAAGGGUGCGUAGGCGGCCGUGCAAGUCUGGCGUGAAAGCCCCGGGCUCAGCCCGGGAAGUGCGCUCGAAACUGCGCGGCUCGAGUGCCGGAGGGGAGAGUGGAAUUCCUGGUGUAGCGGUGAAAUGCGUAGAUAUCAGGAGGAAUACCGGUGGCGAAAGCGACUCUCUGGACGGCAACUGACGCUGAGGCACGAAAGCGUGGGGAGCAAACAGG